RNAcentral lists this transfer RNA (66 nucleotides) under Crassvirales sp. RNAcentral describes it as "tRNA-Thr". It matches the Rfam family "tRNA", at positions 9 to 71 of the family's 71-position model. From Rfam's summary of the family: Transfer RNA (tRNA) molecules are approximately 80 nucleotides in length. Their secondary structure includes four short double-helical elements and three loops (D, anti-codon, and T loops). Lineage: Duplodnaviria; Heunggongvirae; Uroviricota; Caudoviricetes; Crassvirales. The record is from RNAcentral.
AGUUACUUCGGUUAUAGCAUUUGUCUUGUAAACAAAAGUAUAUUGGUUCAAAUCCAAUCAUCCCCA